CCGACCCGCGGCCGGCGAGGGUGCGUGUGGAGGUGCGCUCGGCCGGAGUCCGGCCCUGUGCGCGCCAACCACCCCCCGCCCAUGGCGUGGAGCACCUCUGGGCUCCCCACUUGAACGGCGGGCCGCGCCGGCCCAUGAGGAAAGCGGGGUGCGGAGCUCGCCCCCUGCCGGAGGAUGCGCUCCGCCCGCGGGCACCCUGUGGGGACCACAGCCGGACGCCAGAAGUGACCAAACCGUGAAUGUGCGCGUUGCGUGCAGUCAUUGCAUCCUCGCAGCCCUAGGAGUCAGAUGAAGAGAUGGCUCUUAAGGAAAUUCUCGGUUAUAUUGAAAAAUCCAGAAGCUCUGAAGAUACCAGUCAAAUAAAAUCACACCCUAUAACUCUACACCAGACUUGUGGCAUGGUUUCUGUAGCUGCCAGCAGUAAAACCAAGAGAAACUUUACAAAAACCUUUUGUGCAUCUGAAAAGGAGGAAGUGUGAGAGACAUUGGAAAUUCAAUAUGUCAGACAAAGCCGUCUCCUGACACUGCAGGACAGUGGACCAAACAAUCUUUUUAAAGCUCCCAUGUAAGAAGUUGCUAUAUGAGGUGGCAGCUUGGGUCAGACAUUAUGUAUGGCCUUUGGUAUUUUAGUAGCACUGCAUGUAAAAUUUAACUUUCUAAAAUCGCUGUAUUCGUGGAUAGCUUUUAUCAUUGCACUAGACAACAAGUUACAAUUUAAAAACUG
Molecule: non-coding RNA, 724 nt
Organism: Macaca mulatta (Rhesus monkey)
Lineage: Eukaryota; Metazoa; Chordata; Mammalia; Primates; Cercopithecidae
Source: RefSeq, a predicted model, not a curated record